CUACGGGAUGCACCAGUGGGGAAUAUUGCACAAUGGGCGCAAGCCUGAUGCAGCCAUGCCGCGUGUAUGAAGAAGGCCUUCGGGUUGUAAAGUACUUUCAGCGGGGAGGAAGGGAGUAAAGUUAAUACCUUUGCUCAUUGACGUUACCCGCAGAAGAAGCACCGGCUAACUCCGUGCCAGCAGCCGCGGUAAUACGGAGGGUGCAAGCGUUAAUCGGAAUUACUGGGCGUAAAGCGCACGCAGGCGGUUUGUUAAGUCAGAUGUGAAAUCCCCGGGCUCAACCUGGGAACGGCAUCUGAUAAGGGCAAGCUUGAGUCUCGUAGGGGGGGGUAGAAUUCCAGGUGUAGCGGUGAAAUGCGUAGAGAUCUGGAGGAAUACCGGUGGCGAAGGCGGCCCCCUGGACGAAGACUGACGCUCAGGUGCGAAAGCGUGGGGAGCAAACAGGAUUAGAUACCCCCGUAGUC
RNAcentral lists this ribosomal RNA (464 nucleotides) under uncultured bacterium. RNAcentral describes it as "partial 16S ribosomal RNA". It matches the Rfam family "Bacterial small subunit ribosomal RNA", at positions 339 to 795 of the family's 1533-position model. The record is from RNAcentral.